RNAcentral lists this signal recognition particle RNA (299 nucleotides) under Carlito syrichta (Philippine tarsier). RNAcentral's name for it is "Metazoan signal recognition particle RNA (ENSTSYG00000030191.1)". It matches the Rfam family "Metazoan signal recognition particle RNA". Rfam says of the family: The signal recognition particle (SRP) is a universally conserved ribonucleoprotein. It is involved in the co-translational targeting of proteins to membranes. The eukaryotic SRP consists of a 300-nucleotide 7S RNA and six proteins: SRPs 72, 68, 54, 19, 14, and 9. The record is from RNAcentral. Lineage: Eukaryota; Metazoa; Chordata; Mammalia; Primates; Tarsiidae.
GCUGGGCAUGGUGGCACAUGCCUGUAGUCCCAGUUUCUCGGGAGACUGAGGUGGGAGGACUGCUUGAGUCCAGGAGUUCUGGACAGUAACGUGCUAUGCUGAUCAGGUGUCUGUUCUAAGUUUGACAUCAGUGGGGUGACCUCCUGGGAGUGGGGGACCAUCAGGUUGUCUAAGGAGGAGUAAACCAGCCUAGGUCAGAAACAGAGCAGGUCAAAAUUCCAGUGCUGAUCUGUAGUAAGAUAGCACCUAUGAAUAGCCACUGCACUCCAGCCUGGGUAACAUAGCAAGACCCUGUCUCU